UGUACACAUGAUGUCCAAUUUCUUGCUCAGACAAAUAAUUACUUAAUGGAGGGUUUAUCGAGGGUUCUUGUCUUCGCCUCGUUACCAUCCUUCUCUUUCCUUGGAUACCUUUCUAUCCCCUGCCCCUCUCUCUGUCUUCGUCUGCACAUAUCUAUAUCUCAGUUUUGAGGCAGACUUACACGCUCCAACUUAGUCGUCAUCACUCGCACUUACCUCAUUUUCACACGCACACAUACACUGCAGUAUAUCUGUAAAUGCAUUAAUUCCACAUUCUCACUCCAAUGCCGCUUAGAGCCGACUCCCGAUCCCGGGCGCGAAUCCGCUCCGGGAUCCGUACCACUCGCCGUCGUUCCCCCUGUUACCGUCAUCCUGACGAACCCAUCACAGGAAUCUGCGCCUCAUGCCUCCGCGAGCGGCUAUCUGGUCUUGACGCUUCUUCCGCCAUGAAUGUCGCGUCGCCUGAGCUCCGCAGGUGCAGGUCAGUGGUUUCGUUUUCGAAAUGCGAAGCUUCUUCGAGUGCCUUGAACGAGCCGAGGCGUAGAUCCUGCGACGUCGUCGCAGGUCGGAGUUCGCUUUCUAAUCUUUUCGAUGCAGACGAUGUAAGGAGUGGAUCCGAAAGUGAGGCGAAGGUCGAGUCGAAGAAUGUGGGGCUGUCGAGAGUCACUUACACUGUGGUCGAAUCGAAGAAAAAUCACGACGAGAGUAGGGUUUUGAGUAACAAAUUGGGGGAAAUGAAUAUGGAUUGUGUAGACAGUGAUGCGGAAUUUGAAGAUGGAGACUUUAAGACUAUGAAAGAAUAUAUAGAUCUUGAAUUUCAGAAUAAGAUAAAGAAAUCUAAAGAUCUGAAAGAAAUCGCUGGGAGUUUCUUUGGGGCGGCUUCACUUUUCAGUAAGAAAUUGCGGAAGUGGAGGCAAAAGAAUGAUAAGAAAAAGAAGGUCAAUAAUAGCAGCAAAGGCAAGAGCGUGGCCGGCGACAAUGGGACUCUUAAGUUGUUUCAGGAUGAGAGAGAAUUGGGGGAAAAUCAUUCUGAGACUGUGGGGAGAAGAUCGUGUGAUACGGAACCCAGGUAUUCGGUUGAUGCUUGUCGGAUUUCAUUUGAGGAGCCGAGGGCUUCCUGGGAUGGGUAUAUGAUAGCAAGGACAAUUCCGAGGCUUGCUCCAAUGUUUUCUGUUGUUGAGAAUGGCAUUUUGGGGAAUAUGAAUAGGUUUGAGAAUCAUAGGUUGUCAGUUGAUGGGCCGAUGCAUUCAAUAGUAGAGGACGAGAGUAGCUCUGGGGCUUCAGGUUCAGGCAACUCAAACUCAGAUUCCUCCUCUUCCAUGAGGGGAAGUAGCUUUGACCGGUCAAGCUCUGUUCGGAGUUUUGGGAAGAAAGUGAUCAGUUUGGAUGAUCGUGGAGCAUCUCCUGCGAAUGUUAAAUUGGUGAUUACAGAAAAGGAGUUGAAAGAUUGGCAUUUGAGUUCUAGCCGGGACGAGGGUUUGGAAAAGUUUGGAUCCAUAACUAGAAACGCCGCUGCUAUUGAAGAUGUUGGUAACUUGAGUAUGCAGGCGAAAAAGUCUGUUAGAUGGCGUAGAGUUUGUAAUGUGUUUGGUUUCAGACACAAGAAUAGUGAGAAUGUCUGUGAGACCUUUGCAGGAAAUAUAAUGGACCAUUUUAUUGAUGAAGCCAGUGACAAGCCAGGGACGGAGGCUGGUGAACAUGUAAGAGAUGGUGGUUGGAAGCUUACACGCAGCAGUAGUGUUGUUGGUUCCAGAAAUUCAUGUGAUGUCACAGGAUUAAAUCCUAGGAGGAGUGUUGAUAAUGCAGGUGGAUAUGCUUACAUGGGGAGGGAGGAUUUUAAGCUGGAAAGAAACAUGAGUGCUAAACAUUCUUCUGCUGACCUCGACAGUGGGGUAACACCUUUCUACAUGACACCAUUGAGGAGCCUGAGGAAUAGUAAGUCUGGAAAAUUCAAGCUACAGAAUUCACACUCUGUUGCUGGGCAUGUUUUGCAAUUAAACUGACUGAAGGUAGACAAAUUGUUCUUGGCAAGAACAUCAACUUGUGAACCAUAUGGAUGUUACCUUCCUCUUAUGCAACAAAUGGCCUCUCGUUCUUCUUCUGCUAGGAAAAGCGUAGUUUACUGCACAUGUGCAGGAGGUUUUGGAUUGACAAGAAAUAUAGAGAGAAAGAAGUGUCGUUAUAACCUACUAGAGGCUGCAUAUACCUUGUAUUCUGCCAAAUAUUGUUAAGAUUCUAGCAGAUAGACAGUUGAGUUUAGAGCAUUUGGUUUAAGCUAGCUUGUGUGUCUGCUUGGGGAUCAAGUUUGCCGCUUGUGAGUUGGCAUUGGACUGCAGCUUGCCUUAGUUCAUGUAAGUUUAAGGAUAGCCAUCAUCUUAUAAUCUUGGACAUAUUACACCAUUUGUGGCAUGGCAGAUAAAGAUUAAAUUCAGCCUAUUAAAUGUUGUACAAUUUCUGCUGCAAUCGAUAAAAG
This is a non-coding RNA of Sesamum indicum (sesame), 2470 nucleotides long. The record is from RefSeq and is a predicted model, not a curated record. NCBI's taxonomy places the organism in Eukaryota, Viridiplantae, Streptophyta, Magnoliopsida, Lamiales, Pedaliaceae.